CCUACGGGGGGCAGCAGUAGGGAAUAUUGCUCAAUGGGCGAAACCCUGAAGCAGCAACGCCGCGUGGAGGAUGACGGUCUUCGGAUUGUUAACCCCCUUUUUUAGAGAAGUUACUGACGGUAUCUAACGAAUAAUCACCGUCUAACAUCGGUCCAGCAGCCGCUGUAAUACGGAGGGUGCGAGCGUUACUCGGAAUCACUGGGCGUAAAGGGCGCGUAGGCGGGAUAGCAAGUCAGAUGUGAAAUUCUCAGGCUUAACCAUAGAACUGCAUUUGAAACUGUUAUUCUAGAGUAUGGGAGAGGUAGGUGGAAUUCGUGGUGUAGGGGUGAAAUGCGUAGAGAUCACGAGGAAGACUGAUUGCGAAGGCAGCCUGCUAGAACGUAACUGACGCUGAUGCGCGAAAGCGUGGGGAGCAAACAGGAUUAGAUACCCGAGUAGUC
RNAcentral lists this ribosomal RNA (440 nucleotides) under uncultured bacterium. Its description in RNAcentral is "partial 16S ribosomal RNA". It matches the Rfam family "Bacterial small subunit ribosomal RNA", at positions 338 to 795 of the family's 1533-position model. The record is from RNAcentral.